This 95-nucleotide ribosomal RNA is filed under the name uncultured bacterium. RNAcentral's name for it is "partial 16S ribosomal RNA". It matches the Rfam family "Bacterial small subunit ribosomal RNA", at positions 397 to 508 of the family's 1533-position model. The record is from RNAcentral.
CCGCGUGAAUGAUGAAGGUCUUAGGAUUGCAAAAAUUCUUUCAGCGGGGACGAUAAUGACGGUACCCGCAGAAGAAGCCCCGGCUAACUUCGUGC